UACAGAGGUCUCAAGCGUUGUUCGGAUUCAUUGGGCGUAAAGGGUUCGUAGGCGGUGUGGCAAGUCGGGAGUGAAAUCUCUGGGCUCAACUCGAGAGACUGCUUCCGAAACUGCUCGAUGCUGGAGUGUGGGAGAGGCGCGUGGAAUUGCAGGUGUAGCGGUGAAAUGCGUAGAUAUCUGCAGGAACACCCGUGGCGAAAGCGGCGCGCUGGGCUGAUACUGACGCUGAGGCGCGAAAGCCAGGGGAGCGAACGGG
This 256-nucleotide ribosomal RNA is filed under the name uncultured bacterium. RNAcentral's name for it is "partial 16S ribosomal RNA". It matches the Rfam family "Bacterial small subunit ribosomal RNA", at positions 524 to 776 of the family's 1533-position model. The record is from RNAcentral.